UAGUCCACGCCGUAAACGAUGGGCACUAGGCGUUCGGGGUAUUGACCCCUCGAGUGCCGCAGCUAACGCAUUAAGUGCCCCGCCUGGGGAGUACGGCCGCAAGGUUAAAACUCAAAUGAAUUGACGGGGGCCCGCACAAGCGGUGGAGCAUGUGGUUUAAUUCGAUGCAACGCGAAGAACCUUACCUACUCUUGACAUCUAGAGAAGCUUGCAGAGAUGCGAGUGUGCCUUCGGGAACUCUAAGACAGGUGCUGCAUGGCUGUCGUCAGCUCGUGUUGUGAAAUGUUGGGUUAAGUCCCGCAACGAGCGCAACCCUUAUCCUUGUUUGCCAGCACGUAAUGGUGGGAACUCCAGGGAGACUGCCGGUGAUAAACCGGAGGAAGGUGGGGACGACGUCAAGUCAUCAUGGCCCUUACGAGUAGGGCUACACACGUGCUACAAUGGUGCAUACAGAGGGCAGCGAGACCGCGAGGUGGAGCGAAUCCCAGAAAGUGCAUCGUAGUCC
Molecule: ribosomal RNA, 505 nt
Filed under: uncultured bacterium
Lineage: Bacteria
Description: bacterial SSU rRNA
Rfam family: Bacterial small subunit ribosomal RNA
Source: RNAcentral